CCUCGUAAGCAUGGUAUUUGGCUGGGUUGAGUCCAAAAUCCACCACUGCCUUGGAAGCAAAGAAGUCAUAGUAGAGAAGAUGGUGGGGGGGCUGCCCGGCCUUGAAUAGGUACCAGUGGAUGUAGUUGUUUUCCUCAAGAACAUCACAAGUGAUAACUACAUAGGACCCAUGUUUCCUGGCAAUUGACAUCAUUCCUCCUUCCAAUCCAGAAGACAUUUGACUGCCUACGGAGGACACAGCAACGAAACAAUGAUAAGAAAGAAGUAAGUGGAAUUCUUUAGUAUGGCCUCCCAGCGUGGGGGACCAUGAGCAGCUAUGCCACACCCUUACCAGGAGGCAGGAGAGCUAAAAGCAGGACCACAGCCCACAGCAUGGCUACCUCUCCUCUGCCUUGGAAGGAGAGGGACCAGAUGAGAAGAGAAGCAGAGAGUCCUCUCCAAACUCAAAGCCCUCUCAACACGAAGAACGUGCCACGAAAGCAAGUCCGGCUAGCAGGCUGCACAUGA
RNAcentral lists this long non-coding RNA (507 nucleotides) under Fukomys damarensis (Damara mole-rat). RNAcentral's name for it is "lncRNA (ENSFDAG00000024375.1)". Lineage: Eukaryota; Metazoa; Chordata; Mammalia; Rodentia; Bathyergidae. The record is from RNAcentral.